RNAcentral lists this long non-coding RNA (77 nucleotides) under Macaca fascicularis (crab-eating macaque). RNAcentral describes it as "lncRNA (ENSMFAG00000062543.1)". The record is from RNAcentral. Lineage: Eukaryota; Metazoa; Chordata; Mammalia; Primates; Cercopithecidae.
CCCUCCAGGCUGCCGUGGGCUGUAGGGCUUCACUGGAUUGUGGAGUCACCGCUCAUUUCUAGGAAGCAGAGGCCUGC